This is a long non-coding RNA of Gasterosteus aculeatus aculeatus (three-spined stickleback), 1677 nucleotides long. The record is from Ensembl. NCBI's taxonomy places the organism in Eukaryota, Metazoa, Chordata, Actinopteri, Perciformes, Gasterosteidae.
GCUUGAAGUUUUGUAGUGGAGUGACUUUCUGGUGAGAUCCCUGACUCUUGCUAAUCCUGAGCCGGUUCCAAAAAAAGAUGUACCUUUUCUGCUUGUUCCUCUGAGCCGUUUUGGAAUUGGGUUUCUUCUCAGUCGUCUUAUAUAUUCCUUUAACAAGUAUUGAUUUAAAAGAUUCCUCUGAGCCUUUUUGGAAUUGGACGAACACAUUUAGUUUGUUCCUCUGCCAGAGUCACAUUUGCAAUAAUCAAAAGAGCUUUUGAAGCCUGGAUAGCUCAGUUGGUAGAGCCUCAGACUUUUAAUCUAAGGGUCUAGGGUUUAAGUCCCUGUUCAGGCUUGAUGUCUUGUAGUGCAGUGAUUCCUGACUCUUGCUAAUCCUGAGCCGGUUCCAAAGAAAGCUAUACCUUUUCUGCUUGUUCCUCUGAGCCUUUUUGGAAUUGGGUUUCUCCUCAGUCGUCUUAUAUAUUCGUUUAACAAGUAUUGUUUUACAAGAUUACCUUUCAAUCAAGGUCAAACCUCAGUUGGUAGAGCAUCAGACUUUUAAUCUAAGGGUCCAGGGUUCAAGUCCCUGUUCAGACUUAAUGUCUUGUAGUGCAGUGAUUCCUGACUCUUGCUAAUCCUGAGCCGGUUCCAAAGAAAGCUGUACCUUUUCUGCUCAUUCCUCUGAGCCUUUUUGGAAUUGGACGAACACAUUUAGUUUGUUCCUCUGCCAGAGUCACAUUUGCAAUAAUCAAAAGAGCUUUUGAAGCCUGGAUAGCUCAGUCGGUAGAGCAUCAGACUUUUAAUCUGAGGGUCCAGGGUUCAAGUCCCUGUUCAGGCUUGAUGUCUUGUAGUGCAAUCACUUUCUGGUUAGGUUCCUGACUCUUGCUAAUCCUGAGCCGGUUCCAAAAAAAGAUGUACCUUUUCUGCUUGUUCCUCUGAGCCUUUUUGGAAUUGGGUUCCUCCUCAGUCGUCUUAUAUAUUCCUUUAACAAGUAUUGUUUUACAAGAUUACCUUUCAUACAAAGUCAAACCUCAGUUGGUAGAGCCUCAGACUUUUAAUCUAAGGGUCCAGGGUUCAAGUCCCUGUUCAGGCUUGAAGUUUUGUAGUGGAGUGACUUUCUGGUGAGAUGCCUGACUCUUGCUAAUCCUGAGCCGGUUCCAAAAAAAGAUGUACUUUUUCUGCUUGUUCCUCUGAGCCGUUUUGGAAUUGGGUUUCUCCUCAGUCGUCUUAUAUAUUUGUUUAACAAGUAUUGUUUUACAAGAUUACCUUUCAAUCAAGGUUAUCCUCAGUUGGUAGGGCCUCAGACUUUUAAUCUAAGGGUCCAGGGUUCAAGUCCCUAUUCAGGCUUAAAGUUUUGUAGUGGAGUGACUUUCUGGUGAGAUGCCUGACUCUUGCUAAACCUGAGCCGGUUCCAAAAAAAGAUGUACCUUUUCUGCUUGUUCCUCUGAGCCGUUUUGGAAUUGGGUUUCUCCUCAGUCGUCUUAUAUAUUCGUUUAACAAGUAUUGUUUUACAAGAUUACCUUUCAAUCAAGGUCAAACCUCAGUUGGUAGAGCAUCAGACUUUUAAUCUAAGGGUCCAGGGUUCAAGUCCCUGUUCAGACUUAAUGUCUUGUAGUGCAGUGAUUCCUGACUCUUGCUAAUCCUGAGCCGGUUCCAAAGAAAGCUGUACCUUUUCUGCUCAUUCCUCUGAGCCUUUUU